ACAUGCCCCUCCUCUCCGGUACGUCAUUGCUGCGGUUAUUAACCACAACACCUUCCUCCCCGCUGAAAGUACUUUACAACCCGAAGGCCUUCUUCAUACACGCGGCAUGGCUGCAUCAGGCUUGCGCCCAUUGUGCAAUAUUCCCCACUGCUGCCUCCCGUAGGGGGGCGGGGGCGGCGGGCCGGGCGCGGGGCGCGGCGGGCG
Molecule: ribosomal RNA, 204 nt
Filed under: Salmonella enterica subsp. enterica serovar Anatum
Lineage: Bacteria; Pseudomonadati; Pseudomonadota; Gammaproteobacteria; Enterobacterales; Enterobacteriaceae
Description: partial 16S ribosomal RNA
Source: RNAcentral